Molecule: ribosomal RNA, 885 nt
Filed under: uncultured Candidatus Poseidoniales archaeon
Lineage: Archaea; Methanobacteriati; Thermoplasmatota; Candidatus Poseidoniia; Candidatus Poseidoniales
Description: SSU rRNA
Rfam family: Archaeal small subunit ribosomal RNA
Source: RNAcentral
AAGUCCGGUUCAUCUGCCGGAGGCUACCGCUAUUGGAGUCGAUUAGCCAUGCGAGUCGAGAGUCUUAGGGACUCGGCGUACCGCUCAGUAACACGUGGGUAACCUGCCCUAUGCUGGGGAAUAACCUCGGGAAACUGAGAAUAAUGCCCCAUAGUUCACUACGCCUGGAACGGUGAGUGGAUGAAAGCUCCGGCGGCAUAGGAUGGGCCUGCGGCGUAUCAGGUCGUAGGGGGUGUAACGUACCCUCUAGCCAUCGACGCGUACGGGUGUUGGGAGACAUAGCCCGGAGAUGGAUUCUGAGACACGAAUCCAGACCCUACGGGGUGCAGCAGGCGCGAAAACUUGGCAAUGCGAGAAAUCGUGACCAGGGAACUCCAAGUGGCUGGGGUAAGACCCAGUCUUUUCUUGACUCUUCAAAGGUCUUGGAAUAAGAGGUGGGUAAGGACGGUGCCAGCCGCCGCGGUAAUACCGGCGCCUCAAGUGGUAGUCGAUUUUAUUGGGCCUAAAACGUCCGUAGCCUGUUUGGUACAUUCGUGGGUAAAUCAACCAGCUCAACUGGUUGAAUUCUGCGAGCACGGCCAGACUUGGGACCGGGAGAGGUGUGGGGUACGCUCAGGGUAGGGGUAAAAUCCUGUCAUCCUGAGCGGACCACCUGUUGCGAAGGCGCCACACUAGAACGGAUCCGACGGUCAGGGACGAAGCCUAGGGGCACGAACCGGAUUAGAUACCCGGGUAGUCCUAGGUGUAAACGCUGUGGACUUGGUGUUGGGGAUUCUCCGAGGAUUCUCAGUGCCGAAGCGAAGGUGAUAAGUCCACUGCCUGGGGAGUACGGUCGCAAGGCUGAAACUUAAAGGAAUUGGCGGGGGAGCACCGCAACCUGAGGAU